This 272-nucleotide long non-coding RNA is filed under the name Ananas comosus (pineapple). RNAcentral's name for it is "long non-coding RNA (ACOM_LNC033472)". The record is from RNAcentral. Lineage: Eukaryota; Viridiplantae; Streptophyta; Magnoliopsida; Poales; Bromeliaceae.
CAGAUAGUGCACUGCAUAUUAUAAAUUAUAUAUUUAUCAAUCGUUUAUGUGACAUCCCAAUAGUUUCACAUAAGAUUGAAAUAGAAUUAUAAUUUGGCAUAUAAGAGACCAUGAACAUUAAUAAUAAUAAUUAGAUUUAAGUAUUUUGGGCCAGUGGUUUGGGCCAACGAAUUGUUAUUGCUAGCGGGUCAGAUCGUUAUAUUUGGUAUUAGAGCCAAUCAGCAACUAGAAGCAUAUGAGAUUAGUCUCAGUUGAGCCAGAGUCACAAGUCU